GGGGAAUUUUGCGCAAUGGGGGCAACCCUGACGCAGCGACGCCGCGUGGGUGAUGAAGGCCUUCGGGUUGUAAAGCCCUGUCUGGGGGGAAGAUAGUGACGGUACCCCCGGAGGAAGCCCCGGCUAACUACGUGCCAGCAGCCGCGGUAAGACGUGGGGGGCGAGCGUUGUCCGGAAUUAUUGGGCGUAAAGGGCGUGUAGGCGGCUUUUCAAGUCAGCUGUGAAAUUCCCCGGCUCAACCGGGGGCCUGCAGUUGAAACUGGGGAGCUUGAGUGCAGGAGAGGAGGGUGGAAUUCCUGGUGUAGCGGUGAAAUGCGUAGAUAUCAGGAGGAACACCGGUGGCGAAGGCGACCUUCUGGCCUGUUACUGACGCUGAGGCGCGAGAGCCGGGGGAGCGAAC
RNAcentral lists this ribosomal RNA (400 nucleotides) under uncultured bacterium. Its description in RNAcentral is "bacterial SSU rRNA". It matches the Rfam family "Bacterial small subunit ribosomal RNA", at positions 356 to 773 of the family's 1533-position model. The record is from RNAcentral.